UGGGCAACCUGCCCCUCUCUCUGGGAUAACCCCGGGAAACCGGAGCUAAUACCGGAUACUCCGGCUGGAUCGCAUGAUCCGGCCGGGAAAGGUCCGCCGGAGAGGGAUGGGCCCGCGGCCUAUCAGCUUGUUGGUGGGGUGAUGGCCUACCAAGGCGAUGACGGGUAGCCGGCCUGAGAGGGCGACCGGCCACACUGGGACUGGGACACGGCCCAGACUCCUACGGGAGGCA
RNAcentral lists this ribosomal RNA (232 nucleotides) under uncultured bacterium. RNAcentral's name for it is "partial 16S ribosomal RNA". It matches the Rfam family "Bacterial small subunit ribosomal RNA", at positions 118 to 350 of the family's 1533-position model. The record is from RNAcentral.